RNAcentral lists this long non-coding RNA (217 nucleotides) under Elaeis guineensis (African oil palm). RNAcentral's name for it is "long non-coding RNA (EGUI_LNC078453)". Lineage: Eukaryota; Viridiplantae; Streptophyta; Magnoliopsida; Arecales; Arecaceae. The record is from RNAcentral.
CGCGGAGGCCUUGGAUCGUCGUGUGGAUGCUCUGCGGGGAGGCAUCGAGCGAGGACCUAGUGGAGGAAGGAGGAGAGGACGCCGGAAAAGAUGACCGGAGGCGGUCUCGUUGAGCGCUCCUUUAAGAACAAAGGUACUACGAAGAUACAGGCCCCUUCCUCUAGCGCCAAUUCUGUUGGUGCAGAAAUCCGCCUGCAUCGGAGAAGCUGGAGUCGAG